Molecule: ribosomal RNA, 492 nt
Filed under: uncultured bacterium
Lineage: Bacteria
Description: partial 16S ribosomal RNA
Rfam family: Bacterial small subunit ribosomal RNA
Source: RNAcentral
AGUGAACGCUGGCGGUAGGCCUAACACAUGCAAGUCGAACGGCAGCACAGUAAGAGCUUGCUCUUACGGGUGGCGAGUGGCGGACGGGUGAGGAAUACAUCGGAAUCUACUUUUUCGUGGGGGAUAACGGAGGGAAACUUACGCUAAUACCGAAUACGACCUACGGGUGAAAGCAGGGGAUCUUCGGACCUUGCGCGAUUGAAUGAGCUGAUGUCGGAUUAGCUAGUUGGCGGGGUAAAGGCUCACCAAGGCGACGAUCCGUAGCUGGUCUGAGAGGAUGAUCAGCCACACUGGAACUGAGACACGGUCCAGACUCCUACGGGAGGCAGCAGUGGGGAAUCUUGGACAAUGGGCGCAAGCCUGAUCCAGCCAUGCCGCGUGGGUGAAGAAGGUCUUCGGGUUGUAAAGCCCUUUUGUUGGGAAAGAAAAGCAGCAGGUUAAUACCCCGCUGUUCUGACGGUACCCAAAGAAUAAGCACCGGCUAACUUCGUG